CUGCUUCUCCUUCAGAAUUUCAUAAACGGACAAAUCUUUCGCCUUUUACUAAAGAUUUCCGUGGAGAAGUAUUAAUUGG
This is a non-coding RNA of Paramuricea clavata, 79 nucleotides long. Lineage: Eukaryota; Metazoa; Cnidaria; Anthozoa; Malacalcyonacea; Plexauridae. The record is from the annotation of a GenBank genome assembly.